CUACGGGACGCACCAGUGAGGAAUAUUGCACAAUGGGGGGAACCCUGAUGCAGCAACGCCGCGUGGAGGAUGACGCAUUUCGGUGUGUAAACUCCUUUUAUAUGUCAAGAAAAUGACGGUAGCAUAUGAAUAAGCACCGGCUAACUCCGUGCCAGCAGCCGCGGUAAUACGGAGGGUGCAAGCGUUACUCGGAACCACUGGGCGUAAAGGACGCGUAGGCGGGUUGGAAAGUCAGGUGUGAAAUCCUACAGCUUAACUGUAGAACUGCACUUGAAACUUCUAAUCUAGAGUAUGGGAGGGGGAGAUGGAAUUAGUGGUGUAGGGGUAAAAUCCGUAGAUAUCACUAGGAAUACCUAAAGCGAAGGCGAUCUCCUGGAACAUUACUGACGCUAAGGCGUGAAAGCGUGGGGAGCAAACAGGAUUAGAUACCCCGGUAGUC
RNAcentral lists this ribosomal RNA (439 nucleotides) under uncultured bacterium. RNAcentral describes it as "partial 16S ribosomal RNA". It matches the Rfam family "Bacterial small subunit ribosomal RNA", at positions 339 to 795 of the family's 1533-position model. The record is from RNAcentral.